GCCGUAAACGUUGGGCACUAGGUGUGGGGGACAUUCCACGUUUUCCGCGCCGUAGCUAACGCAUUAAGUGCCCCGCCUGGGGAGUACGGCCGCAAGGCUAAAACUCAAAGGAAUUGACGGGGGCCCGCACAAGCGGCGGAGCAUGCGGAUUAAUUCGAUGCAACGCGAAGAACCUUACCAAGGCUUGACAUGGACCGGAUCGCUGCAGAGAUGUAGUUUCCCUUCGGGGCUGGUUCACAGGUGGUGCAUGGUUGUCGUCAGCUCGUGUCGUGAGAUGUUGGGUUAAGUCCCGCAACGAGCGCAACCCUUGUCCUAUGUUGCCAGCACGUAAUGGUGGGGACUCAUGGGAGACUG
RNAcentral lists this ribosomal RNA (354 nucleotides) under Nesterenkonia halobia. Its description in RNAcentral is "bacterial SSU rRNA". It matches the Rfam family "Bacterial small subunit ribosomal RNA", at positions 799 to 1151 of the family's 1533-position model. The record is from RNAcentral. Lineage: Bacteria; Bacillati; Actinomycetota; Actinomycetes; Micrococcales; Micrococcaceae.